UAUCCGUAGGUGAACCUGCGGAAGGAUCAUUAAUGAGUUGUCAUGGGGUUCGAUGCUGGCAGCCAAUUUUUGGAUGCAUGUGCUUGCCCUAACAAUCAUCUUCCAAACACCUGUGCACAUUUUUGAGGGAGUCUUGAGUUGGUUGCCGCUCUUGGGUGAUUUUCUCACAUUCCCUUAAAUCAUUACACGCUAUUAACAAUGUUGAACGUGCUCUGUGCCGCAAGGCUAUUAAUAUAAUACAACUUUUAACAACGGAUCUCUUGGCUCUC
Molecule: unclassified non-coding RNA, 269 nt
Filed under: plant metagenome
Description: partial contains small subunit ribosomal RNA, internal transcribed spacer 1, and 5.8S ribosomal RNA
Source: RNAcentral